Long non-coding RNA from Bactrocera neohumeralis, 510 nucleotides. RefSeq lists it as uncharacterized. The transcript is spliced from 3 exons. Lineage: Eukaryota; Metazoa; Arthropoda; Insecta; Diptera; Tephritidae. The record is from RefSeq and is a predicted model, not a curated record.
GCAAUUUAAUACAAUAUUUAAAUUUAAUAAAUAUAUUUUAUAAAGAGCUUUAUGAAUUUGUAGUUUCUACGGAAUAAAUUUCUGACCCAUAAACCGCACAUCACAAACAUUAAUUCUGACCAACCGCAAAUUACUCUUAAUCCAUUGAAAAUCAACUCAACUGGAGCAGUGUGCACACUGAUUUCUGUCUUCCAAAGAUUAUGAUACACCAAAUUACUUUGCAGUUGCUGUCAAUAGCAGUAUCAUACUUAUAUGGUGUAGGUAGUAUGGUAGUAGCAGAAAAUCUAAUCAUGCGCAGUUGCAGUAUUCCUUUUCGCAGACCGCCCACACCUCAAAUCAUUCAACUUGACUACAAUGAAAGCGCGAUAUAACUAUGAACAUGCCAUCGACUGUAUAAAACAGUGAUGCAUUGGAAUGUAUGCAAAAAUAUCUCCUAUAAAAUUUUAAGUUUUAUAUAUUAUUUUUUCGCAUUACAAUAAAUGAUUUCCAAUUAAAUAAAAUACACAUGUA